AGGAGCGACAGAGAAGGAAUCGUUGCUGCCCUCCAAAUAUAAAAAACUCCAGCUCUGUCUAGAUCAGGGAUAGGCAACUCCAGUCCUGGAGGGCCAAUGUGUAUGCAGGAUUUCACUGCCAGCAGUUAACCUGGCUUAAUCAGCUAAUUUGCUAUAUGCACCAUGACUGAUUCGCUCAUAAAUUAGACCACAAUAAAAAUACAACAAAACAAGAACAUUUAUGAGGUGCUGUUUAUAUCACAGAAUGUGGGCAUAAAUUACAGAUCAUGUAAAUGAUUUGGCUAAUUAAAUCAUUAUGAGCAGAAGCUGGUCUGAAAUCCAGAAACAGAUAUGGCCCGCCUUGCCCAUCUUUGGUCUAGAUCAAACUAGUUAUACAAUACCUAUAUCAGACGAUAUAUUGGUGCAUAUAUACAAAGGUACAUUCUUGUUCUAGACCAGCGAUAUGAACGUGGAAUUUCCCCAGGGCUACAAUUUGAGACACCCUGGUGUAGGGAUUUAAAUACUGAGAUUCCCUGACGUAGAAGGGGCAGGCCCAUUCUGCACCUGUUAAAGGUAAACAACCAGCCAUUCCUCACUCAACUCGGUGACAGCGAGACCCAGCACUGCAGCCACAUGGUCUGUCCGUCUUUUCUGUGGAGAGAUCAGUGUCGUGUUUAUUUGCACUUCGUUUGCAAACGAUUGUAGCUGAAUGUGUUUUUCUCGGCACCGCUAGACUCCACGAACGACACCGCUCCUCGUCAGGGAAAUACACUGAAGACUGCCUGUUCAAAUCAAGUCAGAAGCACCAUGUCUACCAGUGAGACACACAUGAAUGAAGCGGACAAACACUUUCACAUGCAAGAAUGCGAGAGCGGGAUCCUCCUUCACCAUCCGGCUGAAUCCUGUAUAAAGCGAUUGCUACUGCUUUUCCGGAAAACAACGGCAAACAAGGACCGCCAGGAGCCAGAUUCGCCACCUAGGCGCCGGCAGCGCCUCUUGCUGGCUAUCAUCAUCCUUUUCAGUUUGACCGUCAUGGUGCUGCUCCUUUUGUGGAAUUACCAGUGCAUUUUCAUCGAGCGCCUCUGCCGGGGACAUGAGGAGAGCGCUGUCUUCCCAGUUUUUGGAGGGUGGGUGACUACGCCCACCGCGGGGAGCCUCGGCCGAGAGUAGAUCCAGAGCGUCAUUCGAUCUCACCCCCAACCCCAUUCCCAUUUCAAGUCCUAUGUUGCAGCGUGCUGCAGGUGUUGACGAGCGUAGAGUAGCCAAUGUUUCGGGGGAUUUGUUCAUAUGGUUCUUAGAAUACGAUUGAACUGCUCCUCAGGUUCACCACAUACACUUGACAGCUGUUCACUUUUUAUUGCAGUUUAGGCAAGUGGACUCUUGUUGGAUGCUGCUGCAUGUCACCCACAUUUACUCCCCAUCUUUCACUUCCCAAUUAAGUAUCCCAUACCAUCACAAAACCCCCUGUGGCUACACUGUACCACCUACAUUUUCUCUUGUUUUGCAUUUUGGUGUGCUCUGUUUCUAUUCUGUAAAUAUAAAAAAUCUUGAUUUUAGGAAUUUGUUUGUCAUUUACUGUGCUGUACUUCUGCCCAUUAAGAUUGCUAUGCAAUGAAAUGUGUUCUAUGAAUAAAAUGUUUUAUUACAA
Long non-coding RNA from Conger conger (European conger), 1627 nucleotides. RefSeq lists it as uncharacterized. The record is from RefSeq and is a predicted model, not a curated record. The transcript is spliced from 2 exons. NCBI's taxonomy places the organism in Eukaryota, Metazoa, Chordata, Actinopteri, Anguilliformes, Congridae.